Gopherus agassizii (Agassiz's desert tortoise) is the source of this 2327-nucleotide long non-coding RNA. NCBI's taxonomy places the organism in Eukaryota, Metazoa, Chordata, Testudines, Testudinidae. The record is from Ensembl.
AUGUAUCCACAAGGUUUAGUAGUCAUGAUGGGAGCGGCAAAGAACAUCACGGAGACGACCGUCUCAGACAUGGUGGGGAAGACGGUGGCAACUGUAACGGAGGCGACUGUCUCAGACAAGAUGGGAGAGAUAGUGGGGCCCGUCACGAAGGCGACCAUCCCAGGUACCCCACGGAAGACUGUGGCGCCCACCACAGAGGCAACCGUCAUGGAGGCGGCAGGGGAGACAAUGGCACCCAUCAUGGAGACGACCAUCCCAGACACGUCAGGGAAGAUGGUGACGCCUGUCACAGAAGCAACCAUCACAGUGGUGACGGGAGAGACAGUGGCGCCCAUCACAGAGACGACCAUCCCAGACACGUCAGGGAAGAUGGUGAUGCCUGUCACGGGGGCAACCAUCACGGAGGCGGCAGGAGAGACGGUGGCGACCAUCCUAGACAAGCUAGGGAAGACAGUGGCGCCAGUCACAAAGGCGACUGUCUCAGGCAUGCCAGGGAAGAUGGUGGCACCUGUCACAGAAACAACCGUCAUACAGGUGACGGGAGAGACAGUGGCGCCCGUCACAGAGACGACCAUCCCAGACACGUCAGGGAAGAUGGUGACGCCUGUCACGGAGGCAACCAUCACGGCGGCGGCAGGAGAGACGGUGGCAACCAUCCUAGACAAGCUAGGGAAGACAGUGGCGCCAGUCACAAAGGCAACCAUCCCAGUCAUGACAACGACCAUAGUGCUUGGACAUAAAGAAAUCUCAACUUCAGGGCUGCCAUCAGUAAAAAGCUUCUCAAGUUCUACAAUGAAAAUAAGUAGAGAAUCAACUCUGUUUUUCAAGUCUACUGCUAAACAACUAACUUUGGAGGACAAUAUGUUAGUCAAAUCAAACUCGAACAACCCGACUUCUGGGCCAGUCAUGACAGAAAAUGAAGAGAUAAUCAUGAAUGUGACCACCCCAGAUGAGGCAGGGGAGAAGAAGGCACCCGUCACGGAGGAGGCUUCCCCAGAGAAAGAACGGCAAUCAUCUAGACUAGUGUUAGGACUCGGCAUUUUCUUUGGGAUGCUCCUUAUUACUGCCAUCAUUAUUUGUUACUGUCUAUGGCAAAAGUCAAGAAAAAGCUCAUUUGACGUGAACUCAGUGGAAACAACUAUUCCCUUAAAUUCCACUGAAACAAAAGAACCAAGCUCAGGUAGAGUGUCCUUGGUUUCAUUCUGUUCUUUUGCAUGGCCACUAAAAUGGAGGAUGUAGUAGGAGAGUACUCUUCGUGAUUGAGCAUAUAUAAUCUACUUGCGGCUUUACUCUCACUCUGUGAACCUACACACUAGAGCUGUGUGCUUCACCGGAAUCCAUGACAACAUUUUCUUCAGUUUCAACCCCAGUAUAGUUUCACACAUCAAAAAUAUCAUUUUGAAAAAGCCUCUCAAUCUCCAAACAAGACUCAAUCAAAGCCAUUUGCUACAGCAUUAGAACCAUGCAAUACCAUGACCUGUGGGACUCAACUUCACUUCUGAACCAUGGUUUAUGGUUCUUAUUUUUUAUUAGACUAUAUUAUACACUACAGUGGGGUGUGUUAUCCAUCUUUUUCUUAAUUCAUUUGAAUUUUUACUAUUUUCUGUUUUUCUUUGUAUCAUUUUCAGAUGGGAAGAAGAAAUGAAAGCACUCACACUUAAUAGCCAUUCAUGAAGAUCUCACAAAAAGAACUAAUAUGGCUGAAUCAUCAGAGAAAUUAAAAUGGAUUGAAAUUCAAAGAGAUCCACUUAAUCACAGAAAAGGGCAAUCUCAGUAGUGUAAACUUCUUUUUAAAUGGCACAUUUUGGAGUGUUCCUGAAUCUAAUCAUAGUAAUAAGCAGAUAUUCAUUGGUGCUGGCUGCUACAAAUCUUUAUUCAUUGCCUGUUCCUUUUUGGUUGUGGAAAAAAGCUCACCUUACUUUAAUAUAGUUAUCUAAGAGCCAGAUUCUGCCAUUUAGGCACAAAUCUGCACCAGCAUAUGAGGAACAGGGGGAGGCAUAAUCCCUCUCCCAGCUCUCCAGCAUGCAGAAGAAGCAUGCCAUGGCCCUUUCUCUUCCUGCCCCUGCCUGCUUCCUUUAGAGGAAUUGUGGCCAUUAGGGUGCACAGAAGGAAUGAGUCAUGGAGCGGGGCAGUCUUUGUGCUUCCCUGAGUAUAGGGACUGGGGUCUUUCUGGGCCCUUAUGUGAAGCCCCUAAGGAGUGAGGGGAAAACUCCUUAUGCCUCCUGCUCCCACUGAUUCAUCCGUCCAAAAGCCUGUGACAAUCUAGCCCCUAAUUCUUUGUACAUAGCUUGUUUUAUAAUAAAUGACCUAAGUAAAAGUGAGUCUCA